Molecule: unclassified non-coding RNA, 273 nt
Filed under: Hyaloscyphaceae sp.
Lineage: Eukaryota; Fungi; Ascomycota; Leotiomycetes; Helotiales; Hyaloscyphaceae
Description: partial contains internal transcribed spacer 1
Source: RNAcentral
AAGUCGUAACAAGGUUUCGUCCGAACAGUAUCCUUCCGGGUAACUUGUGGAAGCCUAUGCAACCUCACCAGGGUCCGCGACUAUAAAUAUAGGAUGCAAGUCGCUAUGGCGGCAACAUGAUCGAAUUGCGGGGAUCUCCUAAAGCCUAGCGGUACCAACACACUGUAGAAAUGCAGGGUGGGCCAGUGCUAACCCCACUGGAGGUCAGAAUCUGCUAGGAUGCUACAAUGGACGAUCCGCAGCGAAGCCCCUAUCGGCCCAGGCCUACGGGGA